CAGCCGCCACGGUAAUACGAAGGGGGCUAGCGUUGUUCGGAUUUACUGGGCGUAAAGCGCACGUAGGCGGACUUUUAAGUCAGGGGUGAAAUCCCGGGGCUCAACCCCGGAACUGCCUUUGAUACUGGAAGUCUUGAGUAUGGUAGAGGUGAGUGGAAUUCCGAGUGUAGAGGUGAAAUUCGUAGAUAUUCGGAGGAACACCAGUGGCGAAGGCGGCUCACUGGACCAUUACUGACGCUGAGGUGCGAAAGCGUGGGGAGCAAACAGGAUUAGAUACCCCCGUAGUCCCUGUCUCUUAUAC
Molecule: ribosomal RNA, 301 nt
Filed under: uncultured bacterium
Lineage: Bacteria
Description: partial 16S ribosomal RNA
Rfam family: Bacterial small subunit ribosomal RNA
Source: RNAcentral